GGGAUGGCAGGUAGCCUGUUGUGCACUUUUGUGCCUCCAGGUGUAAUAGCUGACUGCAUCGGUUCUGUGCGGUACGUCGGAGACGGCGGCUUGUUGUGUGUGCAGGCGUGCUGUUGUGCUGACGGCUUCGAGUCUGGUUGCCUUGUUGCUUGUGAACGCAGGCCGGGUGAUGGCUUGUUGCUGUUCAGUGCGCAGUUGCGUUUGUGACACUAUGACAGGGCCAACAGUCUGUGGUGUAGUGGUAGACUAUCCACCUGACCCGUCUUGAAACACGGACCAAGGAGAGUAACAUGUGCGCGAGUCAUUGGGCGUUACGAAACCCAAAGGCGCAGUGAAAGUAAAGGUUCGGCUUGUCCGAGCUGAGGUGAGAUCCUGUCGUUUCUCACGCGUGGUACUACCAAGCAUCGAGCGGCAGGCGCAUCACCGGCCCGUCCCAUGGCGUGGCAGCCUCGUGCCAGCCUAUCGCCGGGGCGGAGCAUGAGCGUACAUGUUGAGACCCGAAAGAUGGUGAACUAUGCUUGCGCAGGUUGAAGCCAGAGGAAACUCUGGUGGAGGACCGCAGCGAUUCUGACGUGCAAAUCGAUCGUCAAACGUGAGUAUAGGGGCGAAAGACUAAUCG
This 619-nucleotide ribosomal RNA is filed under the name Philophthalmus aylacostoma. RNAcentral's name for it is "partial large subunit ribosomal RNA". It matches the Rfam family "Eukaryotic large subunit ribosomal RNA", at positions 424 to 937 of the family's 3401-position model. The record is from RNAcentral. Lineage: Eukaryota; Metazoa; Platyhelminthes; Trematoda; Plagiorchiida; Philophthalmidae.